This 323-nucleotide long non-coding RNA is filed under the name Phoenix dactylifera (date palm). RNAcentral describes it as "long non-coding RNA (PDAC_LNC008402)". Lineage: Eukaryota; Viridiplantae; Streptophyta; Magnoliopsida; Arecales; Arecaceae. The record is from RNAcentral.
UUGAAACCGGAUAUAUAUACUCUUUUUUUUGAAUCUGGAUAAAUAUACUCUUUCAUUUCAUUUUUUUUUUUUGCCAGACACUCAGGAAUUCAAAUGGGAAAACAAAAAUUGGAGCUGAUGGAUAAAGAUACGUACAAGAUGAAUUAUCUCACUUGAUGUUUAAGAAUAAAAUGGACGAAUCUCUGAUUCCAAAUGAUGCAAACCCACAAGGAUAAGAUUCUUAGAACCCACGAACAAGAUGGUAUUCUAACCUUAAGAAAGCAAAAACCAGAUUUGGAUGAUCCACUAGAACCCUUGAACAUGAUGAAACAAGGAUCCAAAGU